ACAGAGACCUAAGUUCACCAGAACAUUUCAGCCAGCUGAGAAUUUGUAGCACAGUCACCUUGCCAGGCCGUGUUUAAAGAAGAACUCUAUUCUUGAGAUAGGUGCAUGGAAAAGACAUAAAAAAACAUAAAUUUCUACACAGGAUUCCCUCUUCAUGCCAUCAUCCACCAUCCCCAGAAUAUAUAGUGGGUUGGUUUUUUUUGGUACCGGGGAUCGAACUUGGGACCUUGCGCUUGCGAGGCUGGCGCCAGAACCACUGAGCUAAAUCCCAGGCCCCUAUAUAGUGGUUUUUGAGGGAAGCCAAGUACUCAGAAAUUAGGGUCCAUUUAAACCAUGCAUGUCAUUAAAAACUAUAUAUGGACAUUAAUUUUUCAAGCUUCUAGUUUAUAUUUCAAGUGUUUCCAAAUCCAGUGAUGUUUCAAGUGAGUAAGUGAAGUAUAACUUCUAGAAGGGUGAAUGGUGCACCAACCCACUUUCAGUUAUUAGCAAAGGGCAGUGUUUUUUUUUUGGUACCAGGGAUCGAACUCGGGUCCUUUCCACUUGCACAGCAGGCAGCAAAACCACUGAGCUAAAUCCCCGGCCCUGGCAGUCUCUUUUGAGUGCUUACAGUAAGUCACACCAUGGCUGCCCUGUUUUCAAGGACAAGAUGGCCCUGUGGGUGGCUCUCAUCCACAGUCUCCCUGGUUUCUACAGACUUGUCUGUAGAAGAUGAAUCCCUUUAAAACAGGCAGAUAGGGAUGCAUCAGGGCAGAAUACUGUUUCACCCAACACCCUUUAUCUGACGUAUCGUGACAAACACAAUGUGCCAGCCAGGCACUUCCCAACUCCUUUUGUGAUGGCUGCGCUUGAGGAACCUGCAGGCUGGAGACCAGCUGCCCUUGUGGACAGUCUUUCUGGGCACAUACGACCUGCUCUAAGACCCUGCAAGCCUGCUCCCUGUCUAGCACUGCCUCCUUCCCCUGCAGAGGUUGCUUAUAUAGUCCCAGGGCUGAUCACCUGUUCUAAUCUGAUUACUCUGUUUCCAUUAAAGCUAUCAACAAAGAACUCAAAGUGAGCCUGUGUGCCACCGAACUGGCCUCUCAAGCCUGGACAUCAGUCACCAACACUUUCUUGGACAGGUCCCUAAAAAUCAAGAAUCAGUCCAGAUGGAACUUAUUGUUUGUAAUGAACAUAAACAUAAUUCUGAUUUGCUCCUUUGGACUGCUGAAGAGAGAACAGGGAUAUGCUCAUAGAAAAAUACCAGGCCGAGGUCCAGGAGACAGGAUGCAGAGCCCACACUGUUGGUCACGCCAGGUACUUGGGCAUGUCACUUUCUCUGUCUCUGCUUCCUAUCUGCAGAAUGCAGGUAACGAUUUCUGCCAAGUUCUCUCC
This 1371-nucleotide long non-coding RNA is filed under the name Heterocephalus glaber (naked mole-rat). RNAcentral's name for it is "lncRNA (ENSHGLG00000037410.1)". Lineage: Eukaryota; Metazoa; Chordata; Mammalia; Rodentia; Bathyergidae. The record is from RNAcentral.